RNAcentral lists this ribosomal RNA (308 nucleotides) under uncultured bacterium. RNAcentral describes it as "partial 16S ribosomal RNA". It matches the Rfam family "Bacterial small subunit ribosomal RNA", at positions 28 to 334 of the family's 1533-position model. The record is from RNAcentral.
GACGAACGCUGGCGGCGUGCCUAACACAUGCAAGUCGAACGGAAGUAAGUGCUUCGGUAUUUACUUUAGUGGCGAACGGGUGAGUAACGCGUGAGGAACCUGCCUUUCAGAGGGGGACAACAGUCGGAAACGACUGCUAAUACCGCAUGAUACAUUUGGGCGGCAUCGCUUGAAUGUCAAAGAUUUUAUCGCUGAAAGAUGGCCUCGCGUCUGAUUAGCUAGUUGGUGGGGUAAAGGCCUACCAAGGCGACGAUCAGUAGCUGGUCUGAGAGGACGACCAGCCACAUUGGGACUGAGACACGGCCCAA